CCUGGGCAUGGUGGCAUGCACCCGUAAUCCCAGCUACUCAGGAGGCUGAGGCAGGAGAAUGGCUUGAACUUGGGAGGCAGAGGAUGCAGUGAGCCAAGAUUGUGCCACUGCACUCCAGCCUGGGUGACAGAGCGGGACUCCGUCUCAAAAAAAAAAAAAAAAAAAAAAAAGCUUAUUACUUUUUUUUUUUUGAGACGGAGUUUCGCUUUUGUCACCCAGGCUGGAGUGCAAUGGGGCGAUCUCGGCUCACUGCAACUUCUGCCUCCUGGGUUCAAGUGAUUCUCCUGCCUCA
This 292-nucleotide small RNA is filed under the name Pongo abelii (Sumatran orangutan). Lineage: Eukaryota; Metazoa; Chordata; Mammalia; Primates; Hominidae. The record is from RNAcentral.